AUUAUCUGGCAGAUGUGUUUGAUUUGCAGGGGUUAUUUUGUAAAUUUUCCCCAUCCUUGUCAACGUGGCUGAAGGUUGUUAGUUUCUUUUGUUUUUUUUAUGGAACGGACGUGUCAAUCUAAGGAUAUUUCUCUUUCUUUCCUCAUCUUCUUUCUCCACCGUGUGGCUUUUAUCUUUGUUCCAAAUUCCAUCAACACUUCGAUCAUCUUGGUCUUGUCGAUGGUUCGCGCUGCUCAGCUCUCAUUUUAAAUUGGUCCUUCUUUUAAUACAUGUCCGUUCAAUUUUGUCUCUUAUGUGCAUCGUGUAGAAUCUAUCCAACUUUCGUCCCUCUAUUUUUUUUUGUUAUUAUCUGGCAGAUGUGUUUGAUUUGCAGGGGUUAUUUUGUAAAUUUUCCCCAUCCUUGUCAACGUGGCUGAAGGUUGUUAGUUUCUUUUGUUUUUUUUAUGGAACGGACGUGUCAAUCUAAGGAUAUUUCUCUUUCUUUCCUCAUCUUCUUUCUCCACCGUGUGGCUUUUAUCUUUGUUCCAAAUUCCAUCAACACUUCGAUCAUCUUGGUCUUGUCGAUGGUUCGCGCUGCUCAGCUCUCAUUUUAAAUUGGUCCUUCUUUUAAUACAUGUCCGUUCAAUUUUGUCUCUUAUGUGCAUCGUGUAGAAUCUAUCCAACUUUCGUCCCUCUAUUUUUUUUUGUUAUUAUCUGGCAGAUGUGUUUGAUUUGCAGGGGUUAUUUUGUAAAUUUUCCCCAUCCUUGUCAACGUGGCUGAAGGUUGUUAGUUUCUUUUGUUUUUUUUAUGGAACGGACGUGUCAAUCUAAGGAUAUUUCUCUUUCUUUCCUCAUCUUCUUUCUCCACCGUGUGGCUUUUAUCUUUGUUCCAAAUUCCAUCAACACUUCGAUCAUCUUGGUCUUGUCGAUGGUUCGCGCUGCUCAGCUCUCAUUUGGAACAUCGAUUGCACCACCAAACCUCCGACUCCCACUGUUCAUGGCGUAUGUUUAAUACGACAAUCGUUCAUCGUGUUGACCGAUUCACGGCCUGAAGACCCUCUUCGUAUGCCUCUCACUCCAUUUGCUUUAGAUUCCAUUCGAUGUUGGCAUUGGCGGGAGUCGGUCUCGACUGAUAGGGAAACACGAAGAAGCAAUGUCACCGAAUCUUCUUUUCUUUUGACUUUGGAGUGGAAAAGAAUGAGCGAGGUCCAGAGGUUGGUCGCGACUGAUAGGGAAGCACGAAGAAGCAAUGUCACCGAAUCCCACCACAAUCCGGGUCACCAGCGUGAUUUUGCCCAGUUUCAGAUCUCUUUAACAACUGGAAAGACUUCUGUAAACGUAAGAAAACAGAGCAAAAAUGGUUCCUAAUAAGCAAGCUGAAGGAGCGAUAGUUCCCGGGGAAAUGAAGGGUUCAAAUGAGCAAGAACAAGGAGAGGGGCAGGUAGGGGUAGAUCAGUCAGUGUCUGUCGUCAAGAACUUUCUUUGGCAUGGUGGUUCUGCUUAUAAUGGUCGGUUCAGUUGUGUUUCAAACCAGGAGUCAUCUUUCAAGUCUUUUAUGGACUCCUUGGUCUUGGAAGCUGGACUGCUCUUCAGUGUUCUCUAUGUCCAGUAUAGAGCCAGAAAGGAGACAGAGAAUGUCAGCUUCAGGAACCAUGUUAUUCAGGUUAAUCUUCAUCCGUUUUUGAUUCUUUAGCAUUUAGCACUGUAAAAGAUGCACAAAUAUCUAUGAACCAUGUUAUUCAGGUUUAUCAUUUUGCGGGACACAUGACCAUAUAUCAUACAUGGUAUUGUCUAUGCUCUGUAUUCAAAAGAUGCACAAAUAUCUAUGAAUUUAGCACAAGUAUCUGUGACUUUGUUGCUUAAUCUGACUUUCUUCAAUUGCUCUUACAAGCCAUCUUACAAAGUGAGGAACUUAUAAAAAUAAAGAAGAUAUAACACACAACUUUAGACCAAAAAGAAAAUCAGAUCGUUUGUCGCUUAUAACUUUUGGUAAACUUAGCUAUGUUGAAUAUUGAAUCAAAAUGAGUAUAAUAUUUGAUAUGAAUUGGGUUUGGUAAGUGAACGAAGAUAUGUUGUAUGCCACCUUUUUUUAAUAAAUAUUUAUUAUGUUAAGUAUAAGUUAUUAACAAGAAUCAUAGUAAUUAUUCAUUUUUAACAAAACACUUAAAGUUAGUGCAUGUACUGAAAUUAGAUUUUGGGAAACUCACCUGUUUCAUUGCUUUCUAUAUAUGUUUACAUCCAUAAUCACGUCCACAUAAUCAAAUUGCAUUCAAAGUAGUUUUAGUAGCAAACUAAUCUGAUCUGAAAGUAAUGCAAAUCGAUGCAUGAUGUGUUAUUGGUACAUCGGCAUGUUCCUCUUAUGCAACAACAUGUUUUAAUUAUCAUCUCAACCUGCUCCAUGUUUUUUUUAUAAUAUUUCAGUCAUAUUAACAAUUAACUAAUGAGUAAUAGAUGAUCCCACAUGGGAGGAUGUACCCUUACCCAAUGGUUGCAACGUUCCUGGUGGAUUCAUGUGGCGAAUCACCUUACACCAUGGUGACUGUGCAUCGAUUAUUAUAUCAAUAAGGAGAAAGAGGGGUGAUAAAAACAUGGAUGAUCAGAUCUAUUGUGUUUCUGAGCUUCAGUAAGGCACAAAGUUUGCUACUUCAAGUUACUGUUGCUUUGGCUGUGGCAGAAGUUGCAUUUGAGUUUGAACACGGGCUCUUUACACCACCUUUUGUGGACCCAACACUCUGAUUGAAUAACUGAAUAUGAUGGAAUAACCCCUUUCCUUAAAUUCCGAAAUAAUGUAUAAAAAUUUUGGUAGAUAUUCAUAUAUUUAAUGUAAUUUGAAACUUAUUUUAUCUUUUUAUACUUUUAUCGGUUAAAUUGUUAAUAAAUUUUCUAUUUUAGUUACACCAUUUUCAUCCAACUCUUGCCAUUUUAUUUUUACUUAUGCGUUUCAAGGGAAUACGUUGUAAUGUGUCUAUUGCAAACUGAUUAGGUUUUAUUUUUUAUACAGAGGAAGAUAAAGAUCUGGAAUGAUUUUUUUUCUCUCCACAACAGUCUCCGGCCAACAUUCCAGAAGUUGUGAUUCUACAAACAACCUUGCAUGCCAAAUCCCAUUCAAUUUGCAAUCAAUUGCUAUGAACAUCCAACAGUACGUCUGUCCAUACUACUAGACAAGAAACUCAAGAAAGCGUAUCAGGAGAUGUACCAAAUUAUCAAACAUGAUGCAUAGGGAGAAAUACUCUAUUUCAAUGUUCUUUUUUAAAUAUUAUCCGUCUUUUUCAUCUUUUGCUUGUGUACGUACGUAGUCAGUUAGGAUGCAAAUUUUUAUGUUUUCUCACUGUUUCUAUUGAAUAACAUGUUUUAAACCAGUUCCAUUA
Lactuca sativa (garden lettuce) is the source of this 3347-nucleotide non-coding RNA. Lineage: Eukaryota; Viridiplantae; Streptophyta; Magnoliopsida; Asterales; Asteraceae. The record is from RefSeq and is a predicted model, not a curated record.